CUUAAUUGGGCGUUAAGUUGCAGGGUAUAGACCCGAAACCCGGUGAUCUAGCCAUGGGCAGGUUGAAGGUUGGGUAACACUAACUGGAGGACCGAACCGACUAAUGUUGAAAAAUUAGCGGAUGACCUGUGGCUGGGGGUGAAAGGCCAAUCAAACCGGGAGAUAGCUGGUUCUCCCCGAAAGCUAUUUAGGUAGCGCCUCGUGAAUUCAUCUCCGGGGGUAGAGCACUGUUUCGGCUAGGGGGCCAUCCCGGCUUACCAACCCGAUGCAAACUGCGAAUACCGGAGAAUGUUAUCACGGGAGACACACGGCGGGUGCUAACGUCCGUCGUGAAGAGGGAAACAACCCAGACCGCCAGCUAAGGUCCCAAAGUCAUGGUUAAGUGGGAAACGAUGUGGGAAGGCCCAGACAGCCAGGAUGUUGGCUUAGAAGCAGCCAUCAUUUAAAGAAAGCGUAAUAGCUCACUGGUCGAGUCGGCCUGCGCGGAAGAUGUAACGGGGCUAAACCAUGCACCGAAGCUGCGGCAGCGACACUCAGGUGUUGUUGGGUAGGGGAGCGUUCUGUAAGCCUGCGAAGGUGGCCUGUGAGGGUUGCUGGAGGUAUCAGAAGUGCGAAUGCUGACAUAAGUAACGAUAAAGCGGGUGAAAAGCCCGCUCGCCGGAAGACCAAGGGUUCCUGUCCAACGUUAAUCGGGGCAGGGUGAGUCGACCCCUAAGGCGAGGCCGAAAGGCGUAGUCGAUGGGAAACGGGUUAAUAUUCCCGUACUUGGUGUUACUGCGAAGGGGGGACGGAGAAGGCUAUGUUGGCCGGGCGACGGUUGUCCCGGUUUAAGCGUGUAGGUGUGUGUUCCAGGUAAAUCCGGUU
This 864-nucleotide ribosomal RNA is filed under the name Salmonella enterica subsp. enterica serovar Agona. RNAcentral describes it as "partial 23S ribosomal RNA". It matches the Rfam family "Bacterial large subunit ribosomal RNA", at positions 683 to 1547 of the family's 2925-position model. Lineage: Bacteria; Pseudomonadati; Pseudomonadota; Gammaproteobacteria; Enterobacterales; Enterobacteriaceae. The record is from RNAcentral.